This is a non-coding RNA of Odocoileus virginianus texanus, 394 nucleotides long. Lineage: Eukaryota; Metazoa; Chordata; Mammalia; Artiodactyla; Cervidae. The record is from RefSeq and is a predicted model, not a curated record.
CUCCCGCCCUCAAUCUUUCCCAGCAUCAGGAUCUUUUCCAGUUAUUACAGGAUAUUGAAUGCAGCUCCCAGUGUUCUACAGCAGCCCAGGAAGGACUUCAGAAGCAGAUGUCUGCAGCUCACCCUGGCCUGCGCAGCCCCAGACUGUCUGAAGAGAGAAGGAUCAGCUCCCUGGGCAUCCUCUGUGACAGCGGACAUGGGGGUGUGCAGCAAGGCUACCUGCCCUAAUUUUAGUGGUGGUGGCGGGGGGGCGGGGGUGGAAAGUUUAGUUACUCCUCCGUGUCUCAACCACCUCAAAUCAUUCUCCUCCCCUCCCAACCUCAUGUUCAUUUGUUCAGCCAGCAACAAAUAUUCAUUGUGGACUGAUUAUCUAUAAAAUAACCAUAUCUAUGGAA